UUUCCGUAGGUGAACCUGCGGAAGGAUCAUUACCAAAUUUUCCCAUUGUUAUCAACAACACCGUGUGUGAACUGGAUGUGUGUUCUCGCUUUGGCCGGCUGGUGAACGGUUUGGCCGAGCGUGUUCAACCCCAUUGUCCAUCUUUUUGCAUUUUUUUUGUUGAAGAGGGCUCUUUUGAGUUUUGCUUGCCUUUUUUUUCUGUGUGAGCGUCUCAAAAGGCCUUUUCUUUUAUGAAAUUUGGAAAUACAACUUUUAACGGUGGAUCUCUUGGCUCGC
This 276-nucleotide unclassified non-coding RNA is filed under the name soil metagenome. Its description in RNAcentral is "partial contains small subunit ribosomal RNA, internal transcribed spacer 1, and 5.8S ribosomal RNA". The record is from RNAcentral.